RNAcentral lists this ribosomal RNA (505 nucleotides) under uncultured bacterium. RNAcentral's name for it is "bacterial SSU rRNA". It matches the Rfam family "Bacterial small subunit ribosomal RNA", at positions 28 to 526 of the family's 1533-position model. The record is from RNAcentral.
GACGAACGCUGGCGGCGUGCCUAAUACAUGCAAGUCGAGCGAAGGACUUUUAGUCCUUAGCGGCGGACGGGUGAGUAACACGUAGGCAACCUGCCUGUAAGACUGGGAUAACAUAGGGAAACUUAUGCUAAUACCGGAUAGGGUUUUCUCUCGCAUGAGAGGAAACGGAAAGAUGGCGCAAGCGAUCACUUACAGAUGGGCCUGCGGCGCAUUAGCUAGUUGGUGGGGUAAUGGCCUACCAAGGCGACGAUGCGUAGCCGACCUGAGAGGGUGACCGGCCACACUGGGACUGAGACACGGCCCAGACUCCUACGGGAGGCAGCAGUAGGGAAUUUUCCACAAUGGACGAAAGUCUGAUGGAGCAACGCCGCGUGAACGAUGAAGGCCUUCGGGUUGUAAAGUUCUGUUGUUAGGGACGAAACCGUACCGUUCGAACAGGGCGGUACCUUGACGGUACCUAACGAGAAAGCCACGGCUAACUACGUGCCAGCAGCCGCAGUAAUAC